UACGGAAUGUGCAAACGUUAUUCGGAAUCACUGGGCUUAAAGAGUCCGUAGGCGGCUUGUUAGGUGAGGUGUGAAAUCCCUCGGCCCAACCGAGGAAUUGCGCUUCAAACCGGCAAGCUAGAGGAGGAUAGAGGUGGGCGGAACUGAUGGUGGAGCGGUGAAAUGCGUUGAUAUCAUCAGGAACACCGGAGGCGAAGGCGGUCCACUGGGUCCUAUCUGACGCUGAGGGACGAAAGCUAGGGGAGCGAACCGG
Molecule: ribosomal RNA, 253 nt
Filed under: uncultured bacterium
Lineage: Bacteria
Description: partial 16S ribosomal RNA
Rfam family: Bacterial small subunit ribosomal RNA
Source: RNAcentral